AGUGAACGCUGGCGGUAGGCCUAACACAUGCAAGUCGAACGGCAGCACAGUAAGAGCUUGCUCUUACGGGUGGCGAGUGGCGGACGGGUGAGGAAUACAUCGGAAUCUACUUUUUCGUGGGGGAUAACGUAGGGAAACUUACGCUAAUACCGCAUACGACCUACGGGUGAAAGCAGGGGAUCUUCGGACCUUGCGCGAUUGAAUGAGCCGAUGUCGGAUUAGCUAGUUGGCGGGGUAAAGGCCCACCAAGGCGACGAUCCGUAGCUGGUCUGAGAGGAUGAUCAGCCACACUGGAACUGAGACACGGUCCAGACUCCUAAGGGAGGCAGCAGUGGGGAAUAUUGGACAAUGGGCGCAAGCCUGAUCCAGCCAUACCGCGUGGGUGAAGAAGGCCUUCGGGUUGCAAAGCCCUUUUGUUGGGAAAGAAAAGCAGCAGGUUAAUACCCCGCUGUCCUGACGGUACCCAAAGAAUAAGCACCGGCUAACUUCGUG
This 492-nucleotide ribosomal RNA is filed under the name uncultured bacterium. RNAcentral describes it as "partial 16S ribosomal RNA". It matches the Rfam family "Bacterial small subunit ribosomal RNA", at positions 29 to 507 of the family's 1533-position model. The record is from RNAcentral.